GAUGAACGCUAGCUAUAGGCUUAACACAUGCAAGUCGAGGGGAAACGGCAUUAUGUGCUUGCACAUUUUGGACGUCGACCGGCGCACGGGUGAGUAUCGCGUAUCCAACCUGCCCUUUACUUGGGUAUACCCCGUUGAAAGACGGCCUAAUACCCGAUGUAAUUCAUUGAUGGCAUCAGAUAUGAAUAAAUGAUUUAUCGGUAAAGGAUGGGGAUGCGUCUGAUUAGCUUGUUGGUGAGGUAACGGCUUACCAAGGCGACGAUCAGUAGGCGUUCUGAGAGGAAGCUCCACUAGAUCUGAACCACGACACAGACCCAACCGGUACGGGGGGCAGGGGUAACGUACACAAGUGAAUGGAGGCUAACCUGAACCAGCCGAGUAGGGGACAAGAAGACUGCGCUAUGAGUUCUAAGCUGCUUUUAUACAAGAAUAAUUUGAUGCACUUGCGACUUAUUGAAGGUACCGUAUGAGUAAGGACCGGCUAAUUCCGUG
This 492-nucleotide ribosomal RNA is filed under the name uncultured bacterium. RNAcentral describes it as "partial 16S ribosomal RNA". It matches the Rfam family "Bacterial small subunit ribosomal RNA", at positions 28 to 507 of the family's 1533-position model. The record is from RNAcentral.